CCCGUUCCCAUACCGAACACGGAAGUUAAGCUCUUCAGCGCCGAUGGUAGUUGGGGGUUUCCCCCUGUGAGAGUAGGACGUUGCUAGGC
RNAcentral lists this ribosomal RNA (89 nucleotides) under Sporosarcina sp. P2. The record is from RNAcentral. RNAcentral also lists the same sequence under 2 other names. Lineage: Bacteria; Bacillati; Bacillota; Bacilli; Caryophanales; Caryophanaceae.